CAGCAUCUAUUCCAGCGAUUACAACAUCAAGCAGUGAAACAACAGGAACAACUCUAGGUCUUCUCACCGAGCCUUUUACUACAGGCAUUACUGAAACUUCAGUUCCCAUCAUCUCAACAUCUGGAAAUGCAGGCACAACAGGAGUAGUGAGCCCCACUGUCACUGGUGCUGCAGGCGUGGCAGGGACAACUGGAGUGUUAGCUGGUAUAACCACAGGAGCUGAACAUGGAAAUUUAAGUGACUUCAGAACAGGUGAGACAAAGAAAUGAGUCAAAUGCUGUCUCUUCCACAGCCUAUUUCUACUAGGAAUCCUCUGUUUCAACUUGGCAACAACUUUUACCCUGAGUACAAUAGCUGACUUCAGAG
This 366-nucleotide long non-coding RNA is filed under the name Macaca nemestrina (pig-tailed macaque). Its description in RNAcentral is "lncRNA (ENSMNEG00000046085.1)". Lineage: Eukaryota; Metazoa; Chordata; Mammalia; Primates; Cercopithecidae. The record is from RNAcentral.